Molecule: ribosomal RNA, 552 nt
Filed under: Meyerozyma caribbica
Lineage: Eukaryota; Fungi; Ascomycota; Pichiomycetes; Serinales; Debaryomycetaceae
Description: LSU rRNA
Rfam family: Eukaryotic large subunit ribosomal RNA
Source: RNAcentral
CAAAAGCUCAAAUUUGAAAUCUGGCACCUUCGGUGUCCGAGUUGUAAUUUGAAAAUUGUAACCUUGGGGUUGGCUCUUGUCUAUGUUUCUUGGAACAGGACGUCACAGAGGGUGAGAAUCCCGUGCGAUGAGAUGCCCAAUCCUAUGUAAGGUGCUUUCGAAGAGUCGAGUUGUUUGGGAAUGCAGCUCUAAGUGGGUGGUAAAUUCCAUCUAAAGCUAAAUAUUGGCGAGAGACCGAUAGCGAACAAGUACAGUGAUGGAAAGAUGAAAAGAACUUUGAAAAGAGAGUGAAAAAGUACGUGAAAUUGUUGAAAGGGAAGGGUUUGAGAUCAGACUCGAUAUUUUGUGAGCCUUGCCUUCGUGGCGGGGUGACCCGCAGCUUAUCGGGCCAGCAUCGGUUUGGGCGGUAGGAUAAUGGCGUAGGAAUGUGACUUUGCUUCGGUGAAGUGUUAUAGCCUGCGUUGAUGCUGCCUGCCUAGACCGAGGACUGCGAUUUUAUCAAGGAUGCUGGCAUAAUGAUCCCAAACCGCCCGUCUUGAAACACGGACCAAC